GAUGAAGAACGUAGCGAAAUGCGAUACGUAAUGUGAAUUGCAGAAUUCAGUGAAUCAUCGAGUCUUUGAACGCACAUUGCGCCCCCUGGUAUUCCGGGGGGCAUGCCUGUCCGAGCGUCAUUGCUGCCCUCAAGCACGGCUUGUGUGUUGGGCCUCCGCCCCCCGGCUCCCGGGGGGCGGGCCCGAAAGGCAGCGGCGGCACCGCGUCCGGUCCUCGAGCGUAUGGGGCUUCGUCACCCGCUCCGUAGGCCCGGCCGGCGCCCGCCGGCGACCCCCCUCAAUCGUUCCAGGUUGACCUCGGAUCAGGUAGGGAUACCCGCUGAACUUAAGCAUAUCAAUAAGCGGAGGA
Molecule: unclassified non-coding RNA, 349 nt
Filed under: soil metagenome
Description: partial contains 5.8S ribosomal RNA, internal transcribed spacer 2, and large subunit ribosomal RNA
Rfam family: 5.8S ribosomal RNA (bases 1-120)
Source: RNAcentral